Molecule: ribosomal RNA, 806 nt
Filed under: uncultured archaeon
Lineage: Archaea
Description: bacterial SSU rRNA
Rfam family: Archaeal small subunit ribosomal RNA
Source: RNAcentral
ACGGCUCAGUAACACGUGGCUAACCUGCCCUCGGGAUGGGAACAACCCCGGGAAACUGGGGCUAAUUCCCGAUAGGUGAAGAACUCUGGAAUGAGUCUUUGCCCAAAAGGUGCCGAAUCAUGCUUUCGGCAUCGCCCAAGGAUGGGGCCGCGACCGAUCAGGUUGUUGGUGAGGUAAUGGCCCACCAAGCCUAUAACCGGUGCAGGCCGUGAGAGCGGGAGCCCGGAGAUGGGCACUGAGACAAGGGCCCAGGUCCUACGGGGCGCAGCAGUCGCGAAAACUUUGCAAUACACGAAAGUGUGACAGGGUCAUCCCGAGUGCCGACCGCUGAGGUUGGCUUUUACCCAGUCUAGAAAGCUGGGGGAAUAAGGAGAGGGCAAGUCUGGUGUCAGCCGCCGCGGUAAUACCAGCUCUCCGAGUGGUGUGGACGUUUAUUGGGCCUAAAGCAUCCGUAGCUGGCUGAACAAGUCCCCUGUUAAACCCACCGAUUUAAUCGUUGGUCUGCGGGGGAUACUGCUCGGCUAGGGGACGAGAGAGGCAGACGGUAUUCCCGGGGUAGGGGUGAAAUCCUAUAAUCCCGAGAAGACCACCAGUGGCGAAGGCUGUCUGCUAGAACGCGCCCGACGGUGAGGGAUGAAAGCUGGGGGAGCGAACCGGAUUAGAUACCCGGGUAGUCCCAGCUGUAAACGAUGCAGACUAGGUGUUUGGACGGCCACGUGCCGUUCUAGUGCCGCAGGGAAGCUGUUAAGUCUGCCGCCUGGGGAGUACGAUCGCAAGAUUGAAACUUAAAGGAAUUGGCGGGGGAG